Molecule: long non-coding RNA, 2942 nt
Filed under: Vigna radiata
Lineage: Eukaryota; Viridiplantae; Streptophyta; Magnoliopsida; Fabales; Fabaceae
Description: long non-coding RNA (VRAD_LNC016654)
Source: RNAcentral
UGUUUCCUUGAAUUUUGUCGUACCAAACCUGUUUCGCAAAACAGGGCGAUUCGAGUCGCCUUCCAUCGCAACUUUAGGCCUAUCUCCCCGACUCCUCAAGGAAUUACGAGUAAAAACUUCGGUUAGGCGCACCCACCGAGCACUAUACUCACACGAGCCAAAGUCAUUGGGCGAGACAUCCAACCCUCUCUAUCGCAAUACGAAUACCAUCGGUUCGACAAAAAUUCUAAGAAAAUGACAGAACUUUUGCUCUCACAACUUUACCAUCACAACCACCACCAUCAUAUAUAAAGUCAACCAAAUUCAUUGACCAAUAAUUAAUUAAAAAUACCUAAAUAAUUAAACCAAUCAAUUUUUCACAGUAAAAUAAAAUUAAUAUUUUCCUACUGGCGCACCCCCGUGAAAUUAUUAAUCUCACCCUUCCAUCCACUAGAACCAAUAUUUCUAGUGCACCCCCCCUUUUACUAAAAUCACAACACAUAAUAAAACACACUUUUCCAUGUACCCCUUUUUAUCUUAAAUACACUCCCUCUCAUAAAUCUACCAACCUAAGUGGAUCCCACUAGUCUUUUUAAUUUAAAAUCAAACUUUAUUUUUUUUUCUCUCUCCACGUGGACCCCACUUAAAAUAUUCUUUUCAAAUCAAAACUCUCUUUCUCACUCCUAUUUCCACUUUUACGUAACUCACCUUCCUUUCUCUCAUUCACUUUUUAUUUUAUUUUUUUCAAUUAAACCAAAAUCCACCUCACUCACCUUUCACACCAAAAUUAUCGUGGACCCCACUCCCUUUUCUAGAUCAAUUUUUCUUCUCUUUUCUAAGACUAAAAGGCCAAUCUUUCUCCCAUUCAAUUACCAUUCACGUAAGACUCACACACCCCAUAUUUCACAAUGUCAAACUUCUCUCUCCUUCUUCCAUUUUUUUUUCGUCAAUUUCACACACACACACAACUUCCACUCUUUCUUCCACUUUUGACUUUUCAAACACCCAUCUCUCACUCUCAUUUCUUCUUUUCACGUAAAACCAAGACCUCUUCCAUUUUAUUUAACUUUUCAACCCCAAACUCCACAUCCAUUCCCCCUUUCUUUACGUCCCACCAUGCAACCCAUUCUCCAUCUCUUUCUUUUUUUUUUUUUUUUUCAUCAACCCUUAUUUAACUUAUCCUUCUUUGCUUCCAAAGACCCGUCAAUCUUCCCUCUUCACGGUUGUUGCUCCUCUUGCAGCCCCUUUCUUUUUCUUUGUCAAUUUCAUGUUCUUCCUUCAUGAUCUUAUUAUUCCCAUGCAACCAAGCUUCUUCUUUCUUCACCAUUUCAUCAACCCCAUAUACCCCAUCUCACAAAAACAUCAUUUUCACUCCUCUCAUAUUCAAAACUCAUUCUUUUCUCUUCCAUCAAUGGAAGAGAACUCUCAAUACCCUCCUACCCACACUCUUGGUCAAAGAGUGUAGAUAAGCAUCCCACAAAAUAUUAUAAUUCAUAUAUGGUAAUAAGGAAACAAGAUGCACACAAUAUAACAUGAUUUUAAGUGUACCCAUAAAACUUUUUCAUACACAUACAUCACCCCAAAGUGCCCAAAACAUGUAUACCCAUUUUAACAACAACACUUUUUGAAAAGCCAACAUAUAAAGUUCAAGGUAUACCCAUAAUACAAANNNNNNNNNNNNNNNNNNNNNNNNNNNNNNNNNNNNNNNNNNNNNNNNNNNNNNNNNNNNAUUUUGAAAAUGCAUGAAAAUAAUCAUUCUCCAUACAACAACACAUGGAAACUAAACAUAAAAAGAGAGAGCAUGCAUCAACGUGUUAACUUUAAUCUCAACACAAAAGAAAGAAAACAUGCAUCAACAUUAUCAUGUUACCUUCUACCCAUCAUACACCAUAUUAUAACCCAAGUUAAACCCCUUACCUCUAUUCCAAGCUAGUCUCCAAGGUUCUUAGGUUUAUUUCCUUCUUUAGACUCCAAGUCCUUCACCCUUCUAGGUUCCCUUCAAGUUUCGUCCAACUCCAAAGCUAGGUUGAGUACUUUCUUUCUCUCACCAACUUGGUUGUUUCUCACAAAGAAAUGUUUCUCUCCACUCAACUUACGGCUUUCUCUCUUUCUUUUCCACUCUCUCACCAAGUUUUUAUUACAAUCUCACUAACUUAAAAUUACACACUUAAAUAAAAUCAAUCCUAAACCUUUCUAACCCUUAACCCCCCACUCAAGGUCACUACCAAGGGCAUCCUUAGACCAUUUCAGAUUUUUCCCAUUCCUAACUCCACAUCAACACCCAUAAAACCUUUCUUUAAUGUGUGUAAAUGGUAGGUUUAAAGUGUGCUUAAGUGCCUCCAUAAUACCCAUUUAUGUAGCCUACAAUUUUUAAUGCAGUGAUUAACCUCCUCAAGAAACUCUAAGGUCUCUUACCAAGUUUCCUAAGUCUAGAAAAUAAGUGCCCAACCAUGCAAAGUGGAAAAAGAAAUAAAACCCAUAGGACCAAUGCAAUCUUCUUAACGUAAAUGAGAAAGAAAAGUAACUGAAUGGAAGGCAACUCUCCUCCUCUGGACCGUUUCACUAAGACACCCAACUUUUGCUUUAAGUUUGACUUUUCAACCAUUCAAAAUGAAACAUAUAAAAUGAACUAAAAGAAAUAGAUGCUGCAACCCUUAAAAUGACGUGAAAGAGAACUAAAUUCUCCACUUCUCUUACAAAAUACAUGCACAAAUAUAUUAAAACACACCUUUCUCUCUCAUCAUUUAAUGCAUGAAACCCAUCAAGGAAUGGAGCAAAUAACCUCCUUCACGUACCACACCAACAAUUUCACGAUACUACCCAUAAUUCAUGGCCACAUGCAAUUGAUUUCAUCUUUCUUACCUCAUGGUGAGACCCACACGCCAAGGUGGAAAAUUAAAAAAGAGCUAGGAGCCUUUUUUUUGUCUUGGGAGGGUUAGAAUUUAAGACCAAGCACACAACCC